RNAcentral lists this unclassified non-coding RNA (211 nucleotides) under Hevea brasiliensis (rubber tree). Lineage: Eukaryota; Viridiplantae; Streptophyta; Magnoliopsida; Malpighiales; Euphorbiaceae. The record is from RNAcentral.
AUGAACCAGGUUGUAGUUCUGGUGCCCAAUCUAAUGAUGCUGCUUUAUCUCAGUUAUCUGCCAUGCAGGAUAUGCUUGAUCAGUUACUAAGCAUGCAGAAAGAAAUGCAGAAGCAGAUGACUACGAUGAUUUCUGUCCCAGUUUCCAAAGAAGGUAAAAGGCUAGAGGCAUCCUUGGGCCGGAGUAUUGAGAAAGUUGUUAAGGCUAAUAC